RNAcentral lists this ribosomal RNA (429 nucleotides) under Gemmatimonadota bacterium. Its description in RNAcentral is "Gemmatimonadetes bacterium partial 16S ribosomal RNA". It matches the Rfam family "Bacterial small subunit ribosomal RNA", at positions 355 to 776 of the family's 1533-position model. The record is from RNAcentral. Lineage: Bacteria; Pseudomonadati; Gemmatimonadota.
UAGGGAAUCUUCGGCAAUGGACGAAAGUCUGACCGAGCAACGCCGCGUGAGUGAAGAAGGUUUUCGGAUCGUAAAACUCUGUUGUUCGAGAAGAAAAAGGACGUUAGUAACUGAACGUCCCCUGACGGUAUCUAACCAGACAGCCACGGCUAACUACGUGCCAGCAGCCGCGGUAAUACGUAGGUGGCAAGCGUUGUCCGGAUUUAUUGGGCGUAAAGCGAGCGCAGGCGGUUUCUUAAGUCUGAUGUGAAAGCCCCCGGCUCAACCGGGGAGGGUCAUUGGAAACUGGGAGACUUGAGUGCAGAAGAGGGGAGUGGAAUUCCAUGUGUAGCGGUGAAAUGCGUAGAUAUAUGGAGGAACACCAGUGGCGAAGGCGGCUCUCUGGUCUGUAACUGACGCUGAGGCUCGAAAGCGUGGGGAGCAAACAGG